RNAcentral lists this ribosomal RNA (367 nucleotides) under uncultured bacterium. RNAcentral describes it as "bacterial SSU rRNA". It matches the Rfam family "Bacterial small subunit ribosomal RNA", at positions 957 to 1332 of the family's 1533-position model. The record is from RNAcentral.
GAACGCGAAGAACCUUACCUGGGCUUGACAUAGCAGUGGUAGGGAAGCGAAAGCAGACCGACCCUUCGGGGAGCUGUUACAGGUGUUGCAUGGCUGUCGUCAUCUCGUGUCGUGAGAUGUUCGGUUAAGUCCGCUAACGAGCGCAACCCUCGCUGUGUGUUACAAGUGUCACACGAGUACUCGCCGGUAUUAACUCCUGAGGAAGGUGGGAUGACGUCAAGUCAGCAUGACCUUUAUAUCCAGGGCUACACACACACGCUACAAUGGUCAGUACAAUAGGUUGCCAAGCCGCGAGGCGGAACCAAUCCUAAAAAGCUGGCCUCACUUCAGAUUGCAGUCUGCAACUCGACUGCAUGAAGUUGGAGUU